CAUAGAUGCCGCACCCUGGCUUGUGGGCUGCGUCAAUACCGCCGCCAUCUUGCCUAAGUGCUCUGACCUGUUCAGACCCAUGUCAGACUCGGCAAAAAUGCCACAUUUUUGCUCUGCAUUUGGGUGUACGAACGAAAGAAGUGUUAAAACCAAGCAGAAGGGAAUAACAUUCCACAGUUUCCCAAAAAACACAGAUAGGAGACGGGCAUAGGUAGCAGCAGUGAGGAGAACGGACUUUGUCCCGAGUGACUCCUCAGUCAUCUGCAGCUGUCACUUCAGACCUGAGGACUUCGACAGGACUGGGCAGACUGUCCGUUUUAAGGGACGGAGUGACUCCUUCUGUAUUCAGUUUUCCCGAGCAUCUCUGCAAAAAAUAAUAGUUGCUGAAGGCCGGUGUGGUGGUGGCAGUGUCUGUGACUGGUGGUGGUGUCGUCCCGUUUUGUGUGCUGUGCUUCCCUGGGGCUGGUUACUUCACUGAGUGUCCGUCACGUGUGUGGGUGAUAAGUUGGUUUGCUUUCUUAUAUUUUGAGGAUCACUCCCCCUUCACUGGCACUUGUCCACCCAAACGCCUCAGCUUCUGAUUAGGCCCCCCUCCCCUUCCUGUGUGAAUGGUUUUGAUAACUUAAUUAUUGUUAAAUAAAAUUGAUGCUUU
This is a long non-coding RNA of Epinephelus moara (kelp grouper), 652 nucleotides long. RefSeq lists it as uncharacterized. The record is from RefSeq and is a predicted model, not a curated record. Lineage: Eukaryota; Metazoa; Chordata; Actinopteri; Perciformes; Serranidae. The transcript has 3 exons.